GAUGAACGCUGGCGGCGUGCCUAAUACAUGCAAGUCGAGCGAACGGACGAGAAGCUUGCUUUUCUGAUGUUAGCGGCGGACGGGUGAGUAACACGUGGAUAACCUACCUAUAAGACUGGGAUAACUUCGGGAAACCGGAGCUAAUACCGGAUAAUAUUUUGAACCGCAUGGUUCAAAAGUGAAAGACGGUCUUGCUGUCACUUAUAGAUGGAUCCGCGCUGCAUUAGCUAGUUGGUACGGUAACGGCUUACCAAGGCAACGAUGCAUAGCCGACCUGAGAGGGUGAUCGGCCACACUGGAACUGGGACACGGUCCAGACUCCUACGGGAGGCAGCAGUAGGGAAUCUUCCGCAAUGGGCGAAAGCCUGACGGAGCAACGCCGCGUGAGUGAUGAAGGUCUUCGGAUCGUAAAACUCUGUUAUUAGGGAAGAACAUAUGUGUAAGUAACUGUGCACAUCUUGACGGUACCUAAUCAGAAAGCCACGGCUAACUACGUG
RNAcentral lists this ribosomal RNA (497 nucleotides) under uncultured bacterium. RNAcentral's name for it is "partial 16S ribosomal RNA". It matches the Rfam family "Bacterial small subunit ribosomal RNA", at positions 28 to 507 of the family's 1533-position model. The record is from RNAcentral.